UUAAGCGACUAAGCGUACACGGUGGAUGCCCUGGCAGUCAGAGGCGAUGAAGGACGUGCUAAUCUGCGAUAAGCGUCGGUAAGGUGAUAUGAACCGUUAUAACCGGCGAUUUCCGAAUGGGGAAACCCAGUGUGUUUCGACACACUAUCAUUAACUGAAUCCAUAGGUUAAUGAGGCGAACCGGGGGAACUGAAACAUCUAAGUACCCCGAGGAAAAGAAAUCAACCGAGAUUCCCCCAGUAGCGGCGAGCGAACGGGGAGGAGCCCAGAGCCUGAAUCAGUGUGUGUGUUAGUGGAAGCGUCUGGAAAGGCGCGCGAUACAGGGUGACAGCCCCGUACACAAAAAUGCACAUACUGUGAGCUCGAUGAGUAGGGCGGGACACGUGGUAUCCUGUCUGAAUAUGGGGGGACCAUCCUCCAAGGCUAAAUACUCCUGACUGACCGAUAGUGAACCAGUACCGUGAGGGAAAGGCGAAAAGAACCCCGGCGAGGGGAGUGAAAAAGAACCUGAAACCGUGUACGUACAAGCAGUGGGAGCACAGAGCAAUCUGUGUGACUGCGUACCUUUUGUAUAAUGGGUCAGCGACUUAUAUUCUGUAGCAAGGUUAACCGAAUAGGGGAGCCGAAGGGAAACCGAGUCUUAACUGGGCGUUAAGUUGCAGGGUAUAGACCCGAAACCCGGUGAUCUAGCCAUGGGCAGGUUGAAGGUUGGGUAACACUAACUGGAGGACCGAACCGACUAAUGUUGAAAAAUUAGCGGAUGACUUGUGGCUGGGGGUGAAAGGCCAAUCAAACCGGGAGAUAGCUGGUUCUCCCGAAAGCUAUUUAGGUAGCGCCUCGUGAAUUCAUCUCCGGGGGUAGAGCACUGUUUCGGCAAGGGGGUCAUCCCGACUUACCAACCCGAUGCAAACUGCGAAUACCGGAGAAUGUUAUCACGGGAGACACACGGCGGGUGCUAACGUCCGUCGUGAAGAGGGAAACAACCCAGACCGCCAGCUAAGGUCCCAAAGUCAUGGUUAAGUGGGAAACGAUGUGGGAAGGCCCAGACAGCCAGGAUGUUGGCUUAGAAGCAGCCAUCAUUUAAAGAAAGCGUAAUAGCUCACUGGUCGAGUCGGCCUGCGCGGAAGAUGUAACGGGGCUAAACCAUGCACCGAAGCUGCGGCAGCGACGCUGAUGCGUUGUUGGGUAGGGGAGCGUUCUGUAAGCCUGCGAAGGUGUGCUGUGAGGCAUGCUGGAGGUAUCAGAAGUGCGAAUGCUGACAUAAGUAACGAUAAAGCGGGUGAAAAGCCCGCUCGCCGGAAGACCAAGGGUUCCUGUCCAACGUUAAUCGGGGCAGGGUGAGUCGACCCCUAAGGCGAGGCCGAAAGGCGUAGUCGAUGGGAAACAGGUUAAUAUUCCUGUACUUGGUGUUACUGCGAAGGGGGGACGGAGAAGGCUAUGUUGGCCGGGCGACGGUUGUCCCGGUUUAAGCGUGUAGGCUGGUUUUCCAGGCAAAUCCGGAAAACUAAGGCUGAGGCGUGAUGACGAGGCACUACGGUGCUGAAGCAACAAAUGCCCUGCUUCCAGGAAAAGCCUCUAAGCAUCAGGUAACAUCAAAUCGUACCCCAAACCGACACAGGUGGUCAGGUAGAGAAUACCAAGGCGCUUGAGAGAACUCGGGUGAAGGAACUAGGCAAAAUGGUGCCGUAACUUCGGGAGAAGGCACGCUGAUAUGUAGGUGAAGUCCCUCGCGGAUGGAGCUGAAAUCAGUCGAAGAUACCAGCUGGCUGCAACUGUUUAUUAAAAACACAGCACUGUGCAAACACGAAAGUGGACGUAUACGGUGUGACGCCUGCCCGGUGCCGGAAGGUUAAUUGAUGGGGUUAGCGCAAGCGAAGCUCUUGAUCGAAGCCCCGGUAAACGGCGGCCGUAACUAUAACGGUCCUAAGGUAGCGAAAUUCCUUGUCGGGUAAGUUCCGACCUGCACGAAUGGCGUAAUGAUGGCCAGGCUGUCUCCACCCGAGACUCAGUGAAAUUGAACUCGCUGUGAAGAUGCAGUGUACCCGCGGCAAGACGGAAAGACCCCGUGAACCUUUACUAUAGCUUGACACUGAACAUUGAGCCUUGAUGUGUAGGAUAGGUGGGAGGCUUUGAAGUGUGGACGCCAGUCUGCAUGGAGCCGACCUUGAAAUACCACCCUUUAAUGUUUGAUGUUCUAACGUGGACCCGUAAUCCGGGUUGCGGACAGUGUCUGGUGGGUAGUUUGACUGGGGCGGUCUCCUCCUAAAGAGUAACGGAGGAGCACGAAGGUUGGCUAAUCCUGGUCGGACAUCAGGAGGUUAGUGCAAUGGCAUAAGCCAGCUUGACUGCGAGCGUGACGGCGCGAGCAGGUGCGAAAGCAGGUCAUAGUGAUCCGGUGGUUCUGAAUGGAAGGGCCAUCGCUCAACGGAUAAAAGGUACUCCGGGGAUAACAGGCUGAUACCGCCCAAGAGUUCAUAUCGACGGCGGUGUUUGGCACCUCGAUGUCGGCUCAUCACAUCCUGGGGCUGAAGUAGGUCCCAAGGGUAUGGCUGUUCGCCAUUUAAAGUGGUACGCGAGCUGGGUUUAGAACGUCGUGAGACAGUUCGGUCCCUAUCUGCCGUGGGCGCUGGAGAACUGAGGGGCUGCUCCUAGUACGAGAGGACCGGAGUGGACGCAUCACUGGUGUUCGGGUUGUCAUGCCAAUGGCACUGCCCGGUAGCUAAAUGCGGAAGAGAUAAGUGCUGAAAGCAUCUAAGCACGAAACUUGCCCCGAGAUGAGUUCUCCCUGACUCCUUGAGAGUCCUGAAGGAACGUUGAAGACGACGACGUUGAUAGGCCGGGUGUGUAAGCGCAGCGAUGCGUUGAAGCUAACCGGUACUAAUGAACCGUGAGGCUUAACCU
This 2901-nucleotide ribosomal RNA is filed under the name Escherichia coli. RNAcentral describes it as "23S ribosomal RNA". It matches the Rfam family "Bacterial large subunit ribosomal RNA". Lineage: Bacteria; Pseudomonadati; Pseudomonadota; Gammaproteobacteria; Enterobacterales; Enterobacteriaceae. The record is from RNAcentral.